UAGGGAAUCUUCGGCAAUGGACGAAAGUCUGACCGAGCAACGCCGCGUGAGUGAAGAAGGUUUUCGGAUCGUAAAACUCUGUUGUUAGAGAAGAACAAGGACGUUAGUAACUGAACGUCACCUGACGGUAUCUAAGCAGAAAGCCACGGCUAACUACGUGCCAGCAGUCGCGGUAAUACGUAGGUGGCAAGCGUUGUUCGGAUGUAUUGGGCGUAAAGCGAGCGCAGGCGGUUUCUUAAGUCUGAUGUGAAAGCCCCCGGCUCAACCGGAGAGGGUCAUUGGAAACUGGGAGACUUGAGUGGAGAAGAGGAGAGUGGACUUCCAUGUGUAGCGGUGAAAUGCGUAGAUAUAUAUAUGAACAAAAGUGGCGAAGGCGGCUCUCUGCUCUGUAACUGACGCUGAGGCUCGAAAGCGUGGGGAGCAAACAGG
RNAcentral lists this ribosomal RNA (429 nucleotides) under Gemmatimonadota bacterium. RNAcentral's name for it is "Gemmatimonadetes bacterium partial 16S ribosomal RNA". It matches the Rfam family "Bacterial small subunit ribosomal RNA", at positions 355 to 776 of the family's 1533-position model. Lineage: Bacteria; Pseudomonadati; Gemmatimonadota. The record is from RNAcentral.